CUUUACUUCUUUUUUACCUAUGGAACUUCAUCAUGACCCACUUUAACAGGCAGGAGUCUUACAAGUAUUUUUUAUUUAAUUAUUUCUGACAUAUCUUUGUCCUCCCUACUCUAAAGUAACUAUGCUUUCCUCUCCUUGCCCCAAUAUUCCACCUUAUUCCUAGCUAUCAUAACCUUAUUGUCUUUAUUUGCUUUUUGAUUUUCAAGCUAAUAAUGUUGUAAUGAUUAUGUUCAUUUGAAUUUCUGUGAUUAUUACAUUGCUUUGUAUUAUUGCUUAUCUUCUCUCCAUCAAGUAUUUUCAAGGAAUUUGACAAGGGAAGAGGACCAGUGCUGACCAAGUGAAGAAAAAGAAGAGUCUAUUGCCAAGCUUUGUACAGCAGCCAAUAUCUGAUUAAGGAGUGGGCAGACGGUUAUGCUGGCAUUGAUCCUGUUUCCAAAAGCAGAUCAACAUGAUUCCUCAAGACUCCAAAGAGAUCAACUAUGGGACCUGAAAAUAAAGGCAGACUGCCAUCAAUUUCAUGUUUCUUUGAUAGCAGACAAAUAUGCUUCAACAAUAGUGCAGAGAGUAAUUUAAGGUUUGGACUGCAAGUGAUGGACACACUAAAUAACUCAACUCAAAGAAUUCAAUGGAUAGUGCUGAGUACAUUAUUAUAUAUCUACAAAGUGAUGGGCACACUAAAUAGCUUAACUGACAGAAUUCAAUGGACCGUGCUGAGAACAUUGUUAUAUAUCUACAAAGUGAUGGACACACUAAAUAGCUUAACUGACAAAAUUCAAUGGGCUGUGCUGAGUACAUUGUUAUCUACAAAGUGAUGGACACACUAAAUAGCUUAACUCACAGAAUCCAAUGGACAGAGUUGAGUAUGUACUAAUAUCUACAAAGUGAUGGACACAGUAAACAGCUUAAUUCUCAGGAUUCAGUGUACCAUGCUGAGUACAUAACUCAUUAAGGAUAACUCAUAUGACAUCCACAGCAGAUCACUCAAACUUGUGUUACUACAUUAUUGUACAACUUUUCAUAUACUAAGUUAUUUUUUCUGA
Saccostrea cuccullata (small rock oyster) is the source of this 1040-nucleotide long non-coding RNA. RefSeq lists it as uncharacterized. The transcript has 3 exons. NCBI's taxonomy places the organism in Eukaryota, Metazoa, Mollusca, Bivalvia, Ostreida, Ostreidae. The record is from RefSeq and is a predicted model, not a curated record.